ACUAUUUUGGCAGAGAAAUGCAUUGAUUUUAGAAGUCAUAAAUAUAUAAAUUAUACUAUAUAGAUAGUA
Molecule: transfer RNA, 69 nt
Filed under: Phragmatobia fuliginosa (ruby tiger moth)
Lineage: Eukaryota; Metazoa; Arthropoda; Insecta; Lepidoptera; Erebidae
Description: tRNA-Leu
Source: RNAcentral